GAUGAACGCUGGCGGCGUGCCUAAUACAUGCAAGUCGAGCGAACAGACGAGGAGCUUGCUCCUCUGACGUUAGCGGCGGACGGGUGAGUAACACGUGGAUAACCUACCUAUAAGACUGGGAUAACUUCGGGAAACCGGAGCUAAUACCGGAUAAUAUCUUGAACCGCAUGGUUCAAUAGUGAAAGACGGUUUUGCUGUCACUUAUAGAUGGAUCCGCGCCGCAUUAGCUAGUUGGUAAGGUAACGGCUUACCAAGGCAACGAUGCGUAGCCGACCUGAGAGAGUGAUAGGCGACCUUGGAACUGAGACACGGUCAAGACUACUACGGGAGGCAGCAGUAGGGAAUGUUCCGCAAUGGGCGAAAGCUUGACGGAGCAACGCCGCGUGAGUGAUGACGGUCUUCGGAUCGUAAAACUCUGUUAUUAGGGAAGAACAAAUGUGUAAGUAACUAUGCACGUCUUGACGGUAACUAAUAAGAAAGCAACGGCUAACUACGUG
This 497-nucleotide ribosomal RNA is filed under the name uncultured bacterium. Its description in RNAcentral is "partial 16S ribosomal RNA". It matches the Rfam family "Bacterial small subunit ribosomal RNA", at positions 28 to 507 of the family's 1533-position model. The record is from RNAcentral.